This 253-nucleotide ribosomal RNA is filed under the name uncultured bacterium. Its description in RNAcentral is "partial 16S ribosomal RNA". It matches the Rfam family "Bacterial small subunit ribosomal RNA", at positions 524 to 776 of the family's 1533-position model. The record is from RNAcentral.
UACGUAGGCAGCAAGCGUUGUUCGGAGUUACUGGGCGUAAAGAGUGCGUAGGCGGCCGAUCAAGUCAGAUGUGAAAGUCCUGGGCUUAACCUGGGGACUGCAUUUGAUACUGAUUGGCUUGAAUGCAGGAGAGGAUAGCGGAAUUCCCAGUGUAGAGGUGAAAUUCGUAGAUAUUGGGAAGAACACCGGUGGCGAAGGCGGCUAUCUGGACUGUGAUUGACGCUGAGGCGCGAAAGCGUGGGGAGCAAACAGG